CAAAGAUUAAGCCAUGCAUGUCUAAGUAUAAACAAAUUUAUACAGUGAAACUGCGAAUGGCUCAUUAAAUCAGUUAUAAUUUAUUUGAUAUUCACUUACUACUUGGAUAACCGUGGUAAUUCUAGAGCUAAUACAUGCGUACAUAACCUCGACUUCUGGAAGAGGUGCACUUAUUAGAUAAAAAGCCAACGCGGGCAACCGCUUGUAUGGUGAUUCAUAAUAAUUAAUCGAAUCGCAUGGCCUUGUGCCGGCGAUGAUGCAUUCAAAUUUCUGCCCUAUCAAGUUUCGAUGGUAGGUUAGUGGCCUACCAUGCUUUUAACGGGUAACGGGGAAUUAGGGUUCGAUUCCGGAGAGGGAGCCUGAGAAACGGCUACCACAUCCAAGGAAGGCAGCAGGCGCGCAAAUUACCCAAUCCCGACACGGGGAGGUAGUGACAAUAAAUAACAAUACAGGGCCUUUACGGGUCUUGUAAUUGGAAUGAGUACAAUUUAAAUCCCUUAACGAGGAACAAUUGGAGGGCAAGUCUGGUGCCAGCAGCCGCGGUAAUUCCAGCUCCAAUAGCGUAUAUUAAAGUUGUUGCAGUUAAAAAGCUCGUAGUUGAAUUUUGGCCUUCGCCUGUGGGGUUCGGUCUUCAUUGAUCGGUACCUCAACGGGCGGGGCUCCACCUUCUGGGUUAGCCAGUCGUCAUUUCGGUGGCGGCUGGUGAACCAGAACUUUUACUUUGAAAAAAUUGGAGUGUUUAAAGCAGGCUUUCAAGCUUGAACAUAUUAGCAUGGAAUAAUGAAAUAGGACUUUGGCCUUAUUUCGUUGGUUUCUAAAGCCAAAGUAAUGAUGAAUAGGGAUAGUUGGGGACAUUAGUAUUCAAUUGUCAGAGGUGAAAUUCUUGGAUUUAUUGAAGACUAACUUCUGCGAAAGCAUUUGUCAAGGAUGUUUUCAUUAAUCAAGAACGAAAGUUAGGGGAUCGAAGACGAUCAGAUACCGUCGUAGUCUUAACCAUAAACUAUGCCGACUAAGGAUCGGAUGGUGUUAUAUUUUAUAUUGACCCAUUCGGCAUUUCAGCGAAAGCCAAGUUUUUGGGUUCCGGGGGGAGUAUGGUCGCAAGGCUGAAACUUAAAGG
RNAcentral lists this ribosomal RNA (1117 nucleotides) under Umbelopsis isabellina. RNAcentral's name for it is "SSU rRNA". It matches the Rfam family "Eukaryotic small subunit ribosomal RNA", at positions 38 to 1150 of the family's 1831-position model. The record is from RNAcentral. Lineage: Eukaryota; Fungi; Mucoromycota; Umbelopsidomycetes; Umbelopsidales; Umbelopsidaceae.